AACGCAAAUUUCACAGCCACUCACAACGCUACAGCAUCCCGUUGAGGUUGAACCCUUGUGGCGUUCUGACCCAUGACCAUCGGGGUAUUGUUGUAUUGGCUUCGGCCUCUUGCAGUGGACUGGAGAAUAAUCGGUUAAUCUUGGGUGCAGCGUUCCAUCGGUGAAUACUUGUUAUUCCUAAGGGACUGCCUUCGUGCGCCCGUAUGGGGAAUGCUGCAAGGAUUAGCUAUACAUUU
Molecule: small nucleolar RNA, 236 nt
Filed under: Sungouiella intermedia
Lineage: Eukaryota; Fungi; Ascomycota; Pichiomycetes; Serinales; Metschnikowiaceae
Source: RNAcentral